This 830-nucleotide long non-coding RNA is filed under the name Phascolarctos cinereus (koala). RNAcentral's name for it is "lncRNA (ENSPCIG00000035036.1)". Lineage: Eukaryota; Metazoa; Chordata; Mammalia; Diprotodontia; Phascolarctidae. The record is from RNAcentral.
CUCAAGAGCCUGCUCCCUCCCCCCAACUGGAAAAGAAGACAUCCAUUUUCUAAUGGGCUCACAGCUGUCUCCAGCCUCCGGAAAGGCAUCCCCGGAGCAGUCGGUGUGAAGUGGGUAGUUAAUUCCAGGCCUUCCUGCCUUGAAGUGUCCCUGGGACUGGGGGCUUCACUGCAUUCCCUUCACACCUGGCCUAUAUGGGGGAAGGCUGCCCAGAAGAGGCUUUGAGAAACAGCCAGGUUGGUGGGAGGGGACUCUGACAAGGCUGGCUGCUGCUGUUGCUGCUGAUGAAGAUUUCACAUCAAGUCCCAACACUGUGCUCCAGCCCUGGAUGCAGCUAGGCUCAGCUGUUUUGGUCACCAAUGCACUAGUGAAAGGGAAGAAUGCUUUAUCAUGUGAAAUAAAGGAAACACCUUGGUGCAAAGUGGAAAGAAGGAUAUGGCUCUGGAAGAGAAGACCUGGGUUUCAAUCCAGGUUCUGACGUUUACUACCGAUGUGACUGAGCAAGUCCCCUUCGUCUCUUUUGUUCUCAGUUUCCUUAUCUAUAAAAUGAGGGGGUGGGUAGUAUUCUUCAUCUUUGACCCUCUAGAAUCAUGUUUGGUCAUUGGAUUGAUUUGAGUUCUGAAGUCAUGCAAAGUUGUUUUGUCUUUAUAAUGUUGUUAUUGUAUAAAUGGUCCUCCUGGUUCUGCUCACUUCGCUCUGCAUCAGUUCAUACAAAACUUCUCAGGUUUCUCUGAAACCAUCCCCUUUUGUCAUUUCUUUUGGCAAUGACAGAAGUGAUGGACUCAAGAUGUGGACAUCCAAGGACAUGGCUAAUAUAGGAUUAGUUUUUC